GUCUACAUCGUCUAGUGGUUAGGAUAGGACGUUGUGGCCGUCCAGACGCAGGUUCGAUUCCUGCUGUAGACA
Molecule: non-coding RNA, 72 nt
Organism: Dermatophagoides pteronyssinus (European house dust mite)
Lineage: Eukaryota; Metazoa; Arthropoda; Arachnida; Sarcoptiformes; Pyroglyphidae
Source: the annotation of a RefSeq genome assembly